This 1141-nucleotide unclassified non-coding RNA is filed under the name Hevea brasiliensis (rubber tree). The record is from RNAcentral. Lineage: Eukaryota; Viridiplantae; Streptophyta; Magnoliopsida; Malpighiales; Euphorbiaceae.
UCUGGUGUUCUCUUGCCACAAACCUGUAAAACCUCCACUCUUGCCUUUUCUUGCCAGUUUGGAUUCAUAGAUAAAACGAUCAAUGUCCAUGUGAGCCAAUUUGCCGUGGUCUCUUGACCAGCAAAGUAGAGCAGCUUGCAUUCCUCUAUUAUAUCCUCAGUUGUUAUGUCAUUUUCAGACUGCUUUUUGCACUGCAGCAGCAAGUCUAGCAAGUCUACAUUGCUGGACUUGGCCUGCUCUUUCCUGUGGAUCAUAUCCCGUAAUGUUGUUUUGAUCUCCUCGUCUAUAGCAUAUCUCCUCUUGUUCUUUUUAGUGGGUAUAAAUCUUACACCAGGAAAGUAAUGGAGUGAUGAGCUUCGAGGACCAAAAGAACUUGCUCUUCUUGAAGUUGAAAUAUUUUCUUUCCCUCUUUGUAGUUGCUUCCAAAGGCAGUUUGAGCGAUUACAUCACCGGCAAGAAUAUGAAAUUCUGUUUUAACAUCCAAUUCACACCAUCCUUGAGCACUCGUUAACUCGUUCCACCGAUGAAUCAGAUCACAACAACUCCUUGUAAAUGCUGGGAUCAUACCCUUUAGUUUCUCGAGAUGGAAAGCUGGUGUUAUCAGUUUUCUGCGUUUGGCCCAUUUCUCUCCUUCCAAGCUUGAGACUCCUCGUUCUAAAAGAUCCACAAGGGGGUUCACUGGUGGCCUUACAAAGUGACCACACUUUUCUGUUAACACCCACUUGAUCAGCUCUGGCUCUGCCAGCAUCAGCCUUGGUCUUGUUCCAAACCAACUCAUGGAGACCUUCCCAUAAUUCUUCACCAUUGCAUCAAAGAAUGGGAAUACACGUGGAAUAAUUGGGUCAUUUAGAGAGAUGGGUUUGGUCACUGCUUCCAUGUCACACCUUAUAAUUUCUUUCCUGUCACCAUGUAUAGGCUUGUAAGAAGUGCCUCUGAUCCCUUGCCCCCUUAAAUGCUUCUCUAUGCUUUUUGGCUUCAACCAAAUAACAUAGGCUACUUCUAUUAGAGCAAUAGAGAGUUAAUAAUACAAAAGAGAAGAGCAUAGUUUGGAAAAUAGAAACCUCCAUUUUUCCUUUGCUACAAACUGCUAACUGAGCUUGUUGGAGGAAAUGAAACCCAAGAGGUGAUGGAUUCAUAGGGU